Molecule: ribosomal RNA, 490 nt
Filed under: uncultured bacterium
Lineage: Bacteria
Description: partial 16S ribosomal RNA
Rfam family: Bacterial small subunit ribosomal RNA
Source: RNAcentral
GAUGAACGCUAGCGAUAGGCUUAACACAUGCAAGUCGAGGGGCAGCAUGGUCUUAGCUUGCUAAGACUGAUGGCGACCGGCGCACGGGUGCGUAACGCGUAUGCAACUUGCCUCACAGAGGGGGAUAACCCGUCGAAAGACCGACUAAUACCGCGUACACUUGGGAUAGGGCAUCCUGACCCAAGGAAAUUAAAUUCGCUGUGAGAUAGGCAUGCGUCCCAUUAGCUAGUUGGUGAGGUAACGGCUCACCAAGGCGACGAUGGGUAGGGGAACUGAGAGGUUGACCCCCCAGACUGGUACUGAGACACGGACCAGACUCCGACGGGAGGCAGCGGUGAGGAGUAUUGGUCAAUGGGCGAGAGCCUGAACCAGCCAAGUCGCGUGAAGGAUGACUGUCUUAUGGAUUGUAAACUUCUUUUAUACGGGAAUAACAAGAGUCACGUGUGGCUCCAUGCAUGUACCGAAUGAAUAAGCAUCGGCUAACUCCGUG